GUGCUUGAUUCAGCAGCACAUAUGUUAAAAAUUGGAACAAGACACAAAAGAUUAGCAUGACCUCUGUGCAAGAAAGUAUCCAAGGGGGCUGGAGAGAUGGCUCAGAGGUUA
Small nuclear RNA from Mesocricetus auratus (golden hamster), 111 nucleotides. NCBI's taxonomy places the organism in Eukaryota, Metazoa, Chordata, Mammalia, Rodentia, Cricetidae. The record is from Ensembl.